This 255-nucleotide long non-coding RNA is filed under the name Phoenix dactylifera (date palm). Its description in RNAcentral is "long non-coding RNA (PDAC_LNC006964)". The record is from RNAcentral. Lineage: Eukaryota; Viridiplantae; Streptophyta; Magnoliopsida; Arecales; Arecaceae.
UGGAAUAGGGGCAGAAUGCAACUCUGUGGUACUAUCAAAUAGAUCAUUCUGAAAUCGAAAUGGAUGGUUUGGUUUUAACCAUCGACGAUGGCCCAUAUAACAGCACUUUCCUCCAUGUUUUAACCAAUAUGAAUGGGUUGAAUCUCCACAAGAAGGACAUGCAAUACGCCCUUAGUGCUCCAACCAGAUAAAUUAGCAUAUGCAGGAAAAUCAUUAAUAGUCCAUAUAAGAGCUGCAUGCAAUUUGAAUGUUUGA